UUCGUCCUACGGGGGGCAGCAGUCGGGAAUAUUGCACAAUGGAGGAAACUCUGAUGCAGUGACGCCGCGUGCAGGAAGAAGGUUUUCGGAUUGUAAACUGCUUUAGAUGGGGAAGAAAAAAGACUGUACCCAUAGAAUAAGCUCCGGCUAACUACGUGCCAGCAGUCGCGGUAAUACGUAGGGAGCAAGCGUUAUCCGGAUUUAUUGGGUGUAAAGGGUGCGUAGACGGGCUAACAAGUUAGUUGUGAAAUCCCUCGGCUCAACUGAGGAACUGCAACUAAAACUAUUAGUCUCUGAGUGCGGGG
Molecule: ribosomal RNA, 305 nt
Filed under: uncultured bacterium
Lineage: Bacteria
Description: bacterial SSU rRNA
Rfam family: Bacterial small subunit ribosomal RNA
Source: RNAcentral